ACGUUUCCUAAAUUAAAGUUCAUAAUGUAAACCCACUUAUAAAGCCACCAUCAACCUUUUCCAUCAUAAAUAAAGAAUUCAUAAUGCAUUUUCCUCAAGGGUCAUUGAGGCAUCCAUCCCUUACAAAACUUAUGUAACAAUAGGGACAAGGGUCAUUAAGUUCAUAAUGCAAAAUAACUUUUAAUUGCAGUUGCAAAAUUGAAUUUAGGGACUAAGGGUCG
RNAcentral lists this long non-coding RNA (221 nucleotides) under Trifolium pratense (red clover). Its description in RNAcentral is "long non-coding RNA (TPRA_LNC004049)". Lineage: Eukaryota; Viridiplantae; Streptophyta; Magnoliopsida; Fabales; Fabaceae. The record is from RNAcentral.